This 442-nucleotide ribosomal RNA is filed under the name uncultured bacterium. Its description in RNAcentral is "bacterial SSU rRNA". It matches the Rfam family "Bacterial small subunit ribosomal RNA", at positions 32 to 494 of the family's 1533-position model. The record is from RNAcentral.
AAUCAACGCUGGCGGCGUGCCUAACACAUGCAAGUCGAACGAGAAAGGGGACUUCGGUCCCUGAGUACAGUGGCGCACGGGUGAGUAACACGUGACUAACCUACCCUCGAGUGGGGAAUAACUUCGGGAAACCGAGGCUAAUACCGCAUAAUACCCACGGGUCAAAGGAGCAAUUCGCUUGAGGAGGGGGUCGCGGCCGAUUAGCUAGUUGGCGGGGUAAUGGCCCACCAAGGCAGUGAUCGGUAUCCGGCCUGAGAGGGCGCACGGACACACUGGAACUGAAACACGGUCCAGACUCCUACGGGAGGCAGCAGUGGGGAAUUUUGCGCAAUGGGGGAAACCCUGACGCAGCAACGCCGCGUGGAUGAUGACGCCUUUUCGGGGGUGUAAAAUCCUUUUCAGCAGGGACGAACACAAUGACGGUACCUGCAGAAGAAGCAUC